Molecule: ribosomal RNA, 485 nt
Filed under: uncultured bacterium
Lineage: Bacteria
Description: bacterial SSU rRNA
Rfam family: Bacterial small subunit ribosomal RNA
Source: RNAcentral
AUUAGAACGCUGGCGGCAUGCCUUACACAUGCAAGUCGAACGGCAGCACGGGAGCAAUCCUGGUGGCGAGUGGCGAACGGGUGAGUAAUAUAUCGGAACGUGCCCGGUCGUGGGGGAUAACGUAGCGAAAGCUACGCUAAUACCGCAUACGAUCUACGGAUGAAAGCGGGGGAUCGCAAGACCUCGCGCGAUUGGAGCGGCCGAUAUCAGAUUAGGUAGUUGGUGAGGUAAAGGCUCACCAAGCCGACGAUCUUUAGCUGGUCUGAGAGGACGACCAGCCACACUGGGACUGAGACACGGCCCAGACUCCUACGGGAGGCAGCAGUGGGGAAUUUUGGACAAUGGGCGCAAGCCUGAUCCAGCAAUGCCGCGUGCAGGAUGAAGGCCUUCGGGUUGUAAACUGCUUUUGUACGGAACGAAACGGUGAGCUCUAAUACAGUUUGCUAAUGACGGUACCGUAAGAAUAAGCACCGGCUAACUACGUG